Pelobates cultripes (western spadefoot toad) is the source of this 220-nucleotide non-coding RNA. NCBI's taxonomy places the organism in Eukaryota, Metazoa, Chordata, Amphibia, Anura, Pelobatidae. The record is from the annotation of a GenBank genome assembly.
GCUUAAUGUAAGUGGUUUUCAUCGUGUGGGAAUAAAACUUAGUGGUAUAGUGAGCUGUAUGGUGUUCUGAUCUUAUUUCCACAGAAUCAACACAUUUCCAUUACAAUUGCCUAUGGACAUUCAAAAUGAAUGUGUUCAUUGAAUAUAUAAUUUUACAUUAUAUGAAUUUUUAACAGAUGGCAUUUUCUGGCUUUUGGGUGCUUUGGUAGACCAGUCUGUA